This 434-nucleotide ribosomal RNA is filed under the name uncultured bacterium. RNAcentral describes it as "partial 16S ribosomal RNA". It matches the Rfam family "Bacterial small subunit ribosomal RNA", at positions 29 to 507 of the family's 1533-position model. The record is from RNAcentral.
AGCGAACGCUGGCGGCAGGCCUAACACAUGCAAGUCGAACGAACCUUUCGGGGUUAGUGGCGGACGGGUGAGUAACACGUGGGAACGUGCCUUUAGGUUCGGAAUAACUCAGGGAAACUUGUGCUAAUACCGAAUGUGCCCUUCGGGGGAAAGAUUUAUCGCCUUUAGAGCGGCCCGCGUCUGAUUAGCUAGUUGGUUGAGGUAAUGGCUCACCAAGGCGACGAUCAGUAGCUGGUCUGAGAGGAUGAUCAGCCACAUUGGGACUGAGACACGGCCCCAACUCCUACGGGAGGCAGCAGUGGGGAAUCUUGCGCAAUGGGCGAAAGCCUGACGCAGCCAUGCCGCGUGAAUGAUGAAGGUCUUAGGAUUGUAAAAUUCUUUCACCGGGGACGAUAAUGACGGUACCCGGAGAAGAAGCCCCGGCUAACUUCGUG